GCCCGGGCUAUACGAUUGUUCCAGGAUAACCGACCCCUCCGGGGCCGGCGCAGAAAGACAUUUGAUACUGGCUUGGGGUGCGGCCGAAUGAUGGUCGCCCCUCUCCAUGAUCACACCGCAUGUUUAUGAAGGACUGGGUGUUAAACCACUUGCAUACGACCUGAUUCUGGGUCAGGGUUUCGUAAGUNGCAGAGCAGCUUUAUGANUGCGAUC
This 213-nucleotide ribosomal RNA is filed under the name Gadus morhua (Atlantic cod). RNAcentral describes it as "partial 28S ribosomal RNA". The record is from RNAcentral. Lineage: Eukaryota; Metazoa; Chordata; Actinopteri; Gadiformes; Gadidae.